AAUGCAUGAUGAGGGCAUUUUCUAAGCAUCUCCUUGUAUCUUUCCAUGCUUUAUAAAGGGAGUCUCCCUCCUUAUGAGUGAAUGUGUGAAUGUCAUUCCUCAAUUU
Molecule: small nucleolar RNA, 106 nt
Organism: Arachis stenosperma
Lineage: Eukaryota; Viridiplantae; Streptophyta; Magnoliopsida; Fabales; Fabaceae
Source: RefSeq, a predicted model, not a curated record